RNAcentral lists this ribosomal RNA (137 nucleotides) under uncultured bacterium. RNAcentral's name for it is "partial 16S ribosomal RNA". It matches the Rfam family "Bacterial small subunit ribosomal RNA", at positions 219 to 353 of the family's 1533-position model. The record is from RNAcentral.
CUGAAGAGGGGUUUGCGUCUGAUUAGCUGGUUGGAGGGGUAACGGCCCACCAAGGCGACGAUCAGUAGCCGGUCUGAGAGGAUGAACGGCCACACUGGAACUGAGACACGGUCCAGACUCCUACGGGAGGCAGCAUG